AUCCUCCACCCACAUGCCAGCUUGCAUACAGCAGUUACCCGACUGGCCUCAUUCUUUUUGUACACAUAAUCAAAACCCUCCUGUAUGCUAUAAAGCUGCAACACUUUUCUAAACUGUACGAUAUUCUUAAAAGUCAUUCCAACUAAAAGUUUAAUAUUUCUCUUAGCAUCUGUGGGUUCAUUGAAUUCAAGAUAUUCUGAAUACCUCUCUUAGCAUUUGAAUACUAGCAUCUAAAUCACUGUCAUUGCUCAAGCUGCGG
RNAcentral lists this long non-coding RNA (259 nucleotides) under Elaeis guineensis (African oil palm). RNAcentral's name for it is "long non-coding RNA (EGUI_LNC054077)". The record is from RNAcentral. Lineage: Eukaryota; Viridiplantae; Streptophyta; Magnoliopsida; Arecales; Arecaceae.